Molecule: ribosomal RNA, 254 nt
Filed under: uncultured bacterium
Lineage: Bacteria
Description: partial 16S ribosomal RNA
Rfam family: Bacterial small subunit ribosomal RNA
Source: RNAcentral
UACGUAGGGUGCGAGCGUUGUCCGGAAUUACUGGGCGUAAAGAGCUCGUAGGCGGUGUGUCGCGUCGGCCGUGAAAACCUGCAGCUUAACUGUGGGCGUGCGGUCGAUACGGGCAUCACUGGAGUUCGGCAGGGGAGAAUGGAAUUCCCGGUGUAGCGGUGGAAUGCGCAGAUAUCAGGAGGAACACCGAUGGCGAAGGCAGAUCUCUGGGCCGUAACUGACGCUGAGGAGCGAAAGCAUGGGGAGCGAACAGG